This 389-nucleotide long non-coding RNA is filed under the name Elaeis guineensis (African oil palm). Its description in RNAcentral is "long non-coding RNA (EGUI_LNC075831)". Lineage: Eukaryota; Viridiplantae; Streptophyta; Magnoliopsida; Arecales; Arecaceae. The record is from RNAcentral.
AAUUGGGUUAAGACUUAUUUUAAUUGGGUUGAUCUAAUUUUAAUUUGAUUUAGUUUGGAAAACCAAAUUAAAACAAGUCAUAAGACAGAAUCCUAGUAAGACUAGGAUUCCACCUUGCGCCACAUAAUCCUUCUCCACGCCCUCUCUCUUAUUCAACGCCAAUCUUUACUUAUUUUGUGUGACAAAAGCCCUCUCUAAGAUCUCUCCCACGUUCACAAAAGGUCUCCUCUCUUCUUUCUUACAUGGAAGGUGGUUUGGAUCAAAUCUAAAAGGAAUAAGUUUGGAUUUUGAAUUCUAUGAGAUAGAGUUUUAGAAAUCCAAAACUCUUUCAAUUUUGCACCAAAUUUAUCCAAAUUUUUUUUUGGAAUUUUUAUGGAUUUUAGGGUAUA